Long non-coding RNA from Vespula pensylvanica (western yellowjacket), 6060 nucleotides. RefSeq lists it as uncharacterized. The transcript is spliced from 4 exons. The record is from RefSeq and is a predicted model, not a curated record. NCBI's taxonomy places the organism in Eukaryota, Metazoa, Arthropoda, Insecta, Hymenoptera, Vespidae.
CGUCCGGGCGGAUCAGUUCCUAAGUCAACCUCAAGCGGAGAAGGUCGUGUUUGGCUCUUCCAUAGUAUUUUAUUUAGUUUUGUUACAAAUCGGGGUGUUACUCUUGUUCUUAAUUUAUUUUUUCAAUCCGCAAUUCUGCUCGGAUCGUCAGGAAACACGAGCCAGAUACAGUCUCACCGUUUGAGGUGGCUAUGGGACGGGUGGUCAUGGAGAGGCUGUCCAUGGACACUGGGCAUACAUCUAAGAAGUCAAGAUACCCCACACACUGGUCCUAGUACCUGCCAUCAGUUUGGUUUGUAAACUGUAUCGAGCCAAAAUAUUUUAUUAUCUUUGGAAAUAGGAACUUUUCAAAGAGAAAAAAUAUUUUAUGGAAGUUUAUAGUUAAUUAGAUUAUAGAGAAUGUGCUCUAAUAAUUUCAGAAUAGAUUUGUAGCAUCACUGGAAUGACUUUUGAGCAGUAAUUCAUGAAUCUAUAUGAUUUUUGUAAUAUUCUCAAAUGUGAUAUUAGAUUGUGGCAUUUAAUAUUUUAUUAUAAGGAUGUUAUAUAAGAUACAAGGAUCUCAAAUUGUAGAUUAAUGGCGUGGAUUUUUGAUAUAGAUAUAUAUAUAUAUAUAUAUUGACGAAAAUGUUAAUUCACAUUGAAUUUUGUACAUUAUACAUUAUCUUAUAGAUGACAAGAUGAGUUACGAGAGUAUCGUGAAAAUAAAUAUCUUUGAAAAAAAAAUGAUUUUCUUCAUAAUCUGCCAGUAUCAUACAUCGUAUUAAUACUAUAAAUCCUUUUCAGUAUGGCAUUCAUCCUAGAAAUCUUUGAGCGAGAGAACGAUAGACGAAUGUCGAAGCAAUUGGUUAUCGGCUGUGACGUUGGCCUAUCUAUAACCUGUAAAAAUGAGGUGCGGUGAGACGUUAAGAUUUGUAUCGAAAGGGAGAGGGGUUAGUCUUUGUUUUUAGAAGGUCGUGUAAGGCGCACUUUGGUCGAAAUGUGUGGUGGCAUAACGCACGUACGCAUCAUAUCUUCGCACCUUCGGCACACAACCAAGUUGCGCGAGUCUUCUCAAAACCUUCAGCGCGCGAUGCACAAGGUUCACUGCAAGGCAGAGAACUCGUACCACUGUCUGGUGAGCUCUUUCGUAUUGCCAACGACCCUUGUAACGUGUUUCUUCAGAUUCGGAACAUUUCUACUGAACGUGGAAGAUUCUCAAAAACCCCUCCAGUGCUUGCGCUGCUAAUACCAGUUUACUCUGAUCAUUGACAUGAUGUAAAAUCGACUAUGCCAGUAUCCAAUCAACCUGAUCGAUAUGUUCGGUUAGCAUAAGUUUUGAGGUAUGAUGAUUCGUAAUGCAUGUCAGUAAUUAAAGCAAAGAAAUAUGAGAGAAAUGAUCGAUGAUAAAUAUGAGUAGUUAAAGCAAUUUCAUGCAGAUUCAUGAACAAAGAAUAGCUAUGGGUACUACUAACAAAGCAAAUGGUGCAAAAAUUUUUAUAUUUUUCUAUGCUCUUUUGGUCUGUGUGCGCAAUAAUUAUUUUCACAGAUACGAUGUGAUCCUGAAAGAAAAUUAUCCCUAGAUGGCAUAAAGGUACCCUGUAUAUCAAUAUUUUUAUGAUAUUAGGGAUGGAAUUUGUGCGUUCUGUUUUCUAGAUUAAAUGGAAGCAUGGUCAAUAGAAUCAAUCUUACUGAGAUGUACAAAACAGGAAUUGAUUGAAGAAAGAAGGUAUCCCUUACAAGUAUUAGAUGAUAUUACAAACUGACAUGUAUGAAUAGAAGGACAGGGGGCAGGUGUAUGUUGAAAUUUUUUCACUGCAAAGUUCUAUUCCGCUAUGUGGAUUUUUCAUUCUUCACUCUAAUGAUGGAGAUAGGAUUUAGCAAUGAUGAGAACUGCUUUGGAUGGAAAAAGUUGCUGGAACAUGAUAGAAAGUUUUUAUACGUUGUUUGAUCAAUGCAAUUUUGUUUUAAGCCCUGAGGAAAAUUAUUCUAAUAUUGGAAAUUGUCACAAUUAAUAAGUGCAAAUACAUUGGAUUUUUGAAUACAAAACAGUAUCAAGAAUAUUGGAAAAAGGCUGGCUGGCUUGAAAGAAAUUUGCUUAUUAAUAUGAAUAUAUGUUUUAAGAUGUAUAUUCUGUUGUGAGGCUUCUUUUGGGGCUGUUCUGUUUUUCACAGUUUUCAUACAAAAAUUUUAAUGCUCUGGAAGAUUGCUGGAAUUGUAUAUAACGCUCGUAUAAUCUCAAUGUCUGGCUUAAAUGGGGAAAAGGUAUGUUGGAGAUCCCAGAUUAUUCACAUUCUUAUUCCAGUUACUACUAAUCAGCCCCAAAGAUCACAAGCACAUGGCUUUGGAUUUCGACUGGAUUCUGGCAUAUUACAAUUGCUGAUCAUGUAUUUGUAAGCAAACUUUACAUAAUGCAUAUGUUUGUACAUAGUCGGAUGUGCAAUGUUGAAAAAUUUAUUACUAUAAUUUAAGCUUACGUAUUUGACCGUUUGGAAAGAGUUUAUGUGAUAAGGGUGGGCAAAACAAAAUGUUGUUCUGAGCUACAGGAAUGUUGCUGUAUGUUUCGUGCAAUAACUAAAUGGAGAAGACUCAUUUGGAUACAUCUCUACAACAUAACAAGAUAUAUUAUUGAGCAAGAGAGAAUAUUGAAUACUAUUUAAUGAAUUCAUACUAAAAGAAAAGUAGAAAAACACAUUUAUUACAUAGCAAUGAUUUUUUGAUUUUUUUCUUGCUCACCAAAAUUUAAAGAACAGGUUCCUGCACUGCACGCUGAUAUCAUAUGAUAACACAUCUACAAUAUUUAUUCAUCAUUUGAAUAGAACUUUAAACAAAAUAUUAAGGAAAUGGAUAUUGUAAGAAUUUAUAUCUUCAAGUAUCAUAGUUUUUAAUAAGAUGCUGAAUUAUGCACAUUUCCCCAUGAGGUAUUCUUGUGAUAUCAGCCAAAGCAUGUGCAGCAUGGUAGUCUACUUCAGAACGCAUUGUACCUAGCCAAUGGAAGAUUAGAAUAUAGCUAUUUGAGAAAUGCAUUCCUUGAAACUGCUAAUGGGUGGAAAAUUUCUUCAUGGGAUGCAGAUGUUAACAUAUCCAUUGAACGCAUAUAUAUCCAACAACUACUAUUCCAUCAGAAGAUAAUACUGCACAGAACAUCCAUCCGUAUGUAUCACGUAGAAAAAAACAUUCAUUAUUUAAAUUUUACAUCAUCAUCUAAGGAAGGAUAAGGCAAUCUCAUACCAAAAUAGAUAGCUUGUACAAUUGCAACAAUUUUAUUAUUUAACAAGCUAUAGUAAUAUAAUUUACAAGACCCAUCAAUAUUGGAGUAAAAUAUUCUGAGACAAAAAAUUCAAUUAUAACCAAGUAUAAGAGAUCAUUUUCAGAUAGAAAUAUUUCCCAGGUAAAUAGUAGAUAUUGCGGGAUAUAUUAAUAUUUUUCUUACAGGAAAAUGCUUGAGAUUAAAAAUAACAUUAUUUCUUUAGAUAAAAGCGAUAUGGAAGAAGUAUAUAAAGUGAUGAAUUUUAUUUUUGCUGCAAUGAUUUAUUGAUCGCUUUCGUUAAACGUAUAGAAUAUGAAAAUGAUAUGAUAUUAUUACAGAUUUGCUAUUAUGAAAUAGGAAUUUUAAUUUGCUUAUGCUAUAGCCAGGCAAUUUACAAAGAUGUAAUUUAAAACAUUUAUAUAUUAUAUAAUAUUUUAAACAUAUUAUAUAAUAUUUAAACAUAGGAAGAGGAAUAUUGGAGAGUGUAGGUUGUGUGAAAUUAGUGCAUUCGUUCGUUAAUAUUUCACUACGCUAUUACGUGAGAAAAUUCUUUGAUACCAAAUAUGUGUGAUAAAACCAAGUUUUGUGUAAUGCAAUAACACAGUAUACAUCAAGCUCAAGAUAAUGUGCAUCAAUAUUGCUAAAUUUGGGUGAAAUAUUAAGUUUGAUAGCUAUAUACGUUCAGUCUUAAAUAUAUAUAGGGUAAUUGAUGCAGUAUGACAAUUCAAAUCUACCAACACAAUUUAAUGAAUGAUGCUUAAUAUUAAAUUCUAUGGCUGGAAAAGGUAGAAAUAUUGUAGAAAUUGCUUUUGAUGCUAGCAAACUUUGGUGAGUGAAUUUCGUGAGUUAUAUUUUUUUAAUUAAAAAGAGAGGACACUAAAUUUUAAUGGCUGUAUUGAUUGAUAUGCUGUUUAAGUGCUGUGUAUUGCGCUUUUGAAACAUUUCAUUGAUUCUAAACUAUACAUUGUACAAUAAUUGGUUACUUUGCUUAAAAAAUUAUUGUACUGCUAUAUCAGUGUAUUGAAAAGUUUAAUAAAUUGUUUAGAAAUUUUGGGAAGGGAAGGGGUGGGAGGGAGGGGGUACUAAUAAUUUGAAGAUUCAAUAGCAUUUCAGAUAGCAUCACUUAUAUGCGAUAUAGAAAAAUUGUCUAGCAUUGCAAGUUGUCCUUCUAGGAUCAAGAAAAUGCAUGAGAUGGCAAAUGCACUACCCUAAAUAGUAAAGGAAAUACCUAAUUUCUAAUAUUUCAUUGUUUCUAUGAUGCUAAGAUAACGCUUCUCUCUGAUUCUUUAAAAGCAGUGUUAACGGAGGUAUUUCUUCAACAAAAAUCAUUUUAUUUAACGUACUGUAAAAAGUAGAAUUGGUAAUUUUUCUCCUAGAUCAUAUUUUAUAAUUUGUGUAAAAGCAACAAAUAUUAACUUGCAACCAAUUGAGAUAUAACAUCCACUUGAUUAAAAAUCAUAGCACUUCAUCAAAAUAUUAUGAAAUAUUAUAAAAAUUCAAUACAGGAAGAAAAAUACAAAAAUCAUUAACACUUAAUCAAUAUUGAAAAGUGCUAUCAAAAGUUUAAUACAGGAAGAAAAAUACAAAAAUCACAUUAUAGCACUUCAUCAUUAGAAAAGUAUUAAGAAGUUGAAGGGUUCAAUGCAGGAAGAAAAACAACAUGGGUACACUAUCAAAAGUAGCAAUAAUCCAUGCAGUUUAUAUUAAUGAAAAUAUAAAAUAUGAAGGAACGUGUAUUUAUUUUAUAAAAGCAGCUGACAUAUAUUUCUGAAGAUUAUGAAGAGAUUAUGUUGAUUUAUGAAGAUAAUGAUUAAGAAGAUUACGAAGAUUAUGAAGAUUAUGAAGAUUAUUUAAAUUAUAUAUUGAUUUAUGUCAUUUAUGAAGAUUAGUUAGAAACACAAGAAAUUCGAUAUUUCCGGUAAUGUUUUUUGAUAAAAAUUAUAGGGUCAUGAUUUGGAUGCACCUGAUUGGGAGCUUCGUUAUACGUGAGUUAUGCUUCGUACUCUCCACAUUUGUUAAUCAGCUAUUUUUAGAGGCCACGUACGGUUGUAAAAAAAAAAAAAUAAGACUGCGAAUGAAGAUUAUUGGAAGAUAGUCGAUCGCGAUUUUCUCAGGACAUCAGUACUCGUUAAAACUCAAAAUAAAUCUAGUAAAAGGAUUCUUGAAAACAUCGAUGGUGUCCCAAUGCCCGAUCGACUAGAGGAUGGGAUUGGUCGUCGAAUUACUAUGACAUCGGCAGUCUACUAAUUUUGGAAGAGGUCUUCUUCAUUUGGCAUCAUCUUGGGUUAUACCUUCAUAGUCAAACUUUUAGCAGCUGAUCAUUAAGAUGAUCCUACACAGAAAGAGAAACUUACAGGAGCGUUCAUGGAGUAUAGCUCUGGAGAAUCUUCUAGAAGUGCAUUCGUUUGCGGUAUUGCAGUUGGUGAAUACAUCGACUAUCGAAGAAUGAGAACAGGAUCUACUUAUGGCGUUUGCAAUUUUCUGUCUUCUUUGAUCUUACGAUUUUUCCUGUACGCGAUUAGAGGCGAUGAUUUUCAAUUGACCAACAUCUUUAAAAACAGGCCUUGGGAUGAUCCAGAGUUCCAGCAAAACAGCCUCUUUUUUCAUUUUAAAAGAUAUUUUUUUUAUAAUUCAUCGGAGACUUCCAGCUCAUUGAAGAUAGAAUUUUUUCGACAUUCGUUUUCUUUUUAACUUUUGUUUGCUGUUACUUUUUAGUACUUUUCACAUCUUUAACAUUUUCGAUGCCAUAAAUGCAUUAAUUCGCUCUGCAUUGUCGGCUCUGUAAUAUGUCACUUAUACAGAAAGCAUGUAUAUAUAUUUUAGUUUAAACUUAA